RNAcentral lists this long non-coding RNA (1015 nucleotides) under Gadus morhua (Atlantic cod). Its description in RNAcentral is "lncRNA (ENSGMOG00000030295.1)". The record is from RNAcentral. Lineage: Eukaryota; Metazoa; Chordata; Actinopteri; Gadiformes; Gadidae.
GGAUGUGCUUCUGAGGUUUGCUGGAGAUGCUGAGCCUGCCUCCAGACGUGGACGCGGCAGAAGGGCUGGUCACGAGGCCUGGGAGUCUUGGGUCAGAGCAGGAGUUGGGGCCAAACCCCAAGAGCAGGAAGCUACUGAGACAAUGCAUGCUGACUCCACUUCCUGGGUCCUCGACUAUCUCAGUGACCAUCUGUUUAGAAGAAUUUGUGUUUGAUUAUGUGUGGACACCUAAAAAACAAGAAACUGCUGAGUACUGUGCUAUUGUGUGUUUAAGAAGAGGCUGGAAUCUGUUGACGAGCAGUAACUCUAUAGACCUACUCAGGCUUUUGUCGUUGUUGUAUUUCUGCACGAUAAAGUCUUUUGUCAAUUCUUGCUCCGGACCCCUCGAUUAGUUUUACUCUCUCUCUCUUGAAUUAGUCGAAGUGUUUAUAUCUCAGUUAAUCCACAACAAAGGCUGAGUGCGGUCGUUUGGAUAAGACGCCAGCAUGAGGGUCAUUGCCGGUCGGUUUAGAUAAAACUCCAGCGUGGACCAGUCGACCCGAGGACCGCGACUGUCCGAUCGCGUCCACACGCACACACACACACCCCGCCAAGUGAGGUGAAAGGUACAUUUGAUUGUUUGUUUGUUUGCUCCUGUGAGUGAAGCGGCCAUUUUUGCAACGUGGGGAUAAAUAGUUCGUACCGUUAUAGGACUUCAUUUUGCUUUGAACUUUUCCAAAAUGCAUUUGAUUUCAUGUGUGAAUUGAUUUACCUGUGGGUCGAUGCACAGAAUGAUUCUUGUUAACGUUUAACGUGUUAAUUCAAUGAAACCAUCUUUCAUAGUAAAUUAUGUGUGUUUUUAUUGUCAUUACCAUGCAGUGAUUCCUAUACAUUAGGGGUUUAGUUCUACAAGACACUACACUACAACUAAACAUAAAAUCGGGUAGAUACUGUGGAGGCAUACUCUAUUCAUUAUGGGCAUGUCAUUUUGGGCAGGAGGCCUGUGAAAUAGGCCUAGGGCUUAACAGGUUAGAGC